CGAGGCUGCGGGCGCUGCCAGGCCGGGCAGCCCAGCCGCCACCUCGCAAAUUCGGGGGCCGGAGCAUCUCCGCCCGCAACUUCUCUCGCCCACUUGCAUCACACCGGCACGGCUUUCACGGCCAGUGCAAAGCAUGGCCCGAUAAAAUGCUGUUUCCUCCCCUUGUGCCCUCCCUUAGCCCCUCCACAAGAGGCACAAGGCAGCGCCUGCUGAUGCUGCUGGAAAUCAGGCUCAGGGUAUUUGCUGGCAGGGGUGCUGUUAUUAUCAAAGCUGUGGCUCUGACCCACACUCCAUUAAAAAUCAUCAUCAUCUGAAAUACCAACUUCUGCCUGUCUUUGCAGGUAUUUUCAGUCUGCAAGGGAAAACCCACGCAACAUUUAAGUGAUGUAUGUGCACAUCUUUGGUCUCUCUAGUGCAAGGCACAAGAGCAUCUCACUACAAUUUGGUAUGGUUGUGUUUCAAUGAGGGCCCAUUUUCAAAUUUUGCUCAAAGAACCAAUAACUCCCACCAAAAAAACUGAAUUGGUCAACCAGAGUUUGCUAAAUAUUAAUUUCCAACACAGCCAUCAUCUUUUGACGAGGCCAACUACAAAUUCCAAGUGAACACAGAAUCCAAACCUCCCACGCAGGGCUGGGCAGAGAUGGUUUGGAAAUCUGCAUUUCUUUGUUAGUGAAGGCAGUUCCUGCGUUUCCUUCUGCACCUUCACAACCCAUGCUCUCUAUCCACAAACAUUUGAAGCAAACAUACCUUUUUUCUGCUCAUCCAUAGCACCUCCCAUAUGAGACAGGAUAGGGAGCAGCCCAAAUUUUGAAGUGAGGAAUGCUCCGGAUGGAUGGAUGGAUGGAUGGAUGGAUUGGAUGGAUGGAUGGAUGGAUGGAUGGAUGGAUGGAUGGAUGAGAGGCCAGUCUCAUUUAUAACUGAUUCACAGAGUGUUUUCAUGUGCAGAGCAUUCCCAGAAGUUCACUCCUUAGCACUUCAGUUCCCUCAGCACCUCUCUCUUAAUGUACUUCUCCAGACAUAGGAAGCAUUUCUGCUCUGCAAAGACAAGAUUUCAUUAAGCUGUGGGGGUUUUAACACAAGAGGAGGUGCCAUUUUGAUUUACUUCUCUGAUUCACACCAGAAAAGGUCCAGAUCCACCUCUUUGUCUGAUGUAACAGUCAUGAACACUGAUUUUCUCACCUUCCUUCACAGAUGCAAGACCACUCGAGCCCCAGUGACCAUCUAAGUGUGUGCUUGCAAAAGAAACACCAGAGACCAAUCUGUUCAUGAACCAGCCACACGAUUUUCAGGCUGGCAGAUAAACUUGAAACCAGCUUGCACAAGCCUGAAUCCUGCAGGGAACAGUAAGGAGCAAUGUCAGCUUCAGGAUCUGAGCAAGGUAUCCUGCUUCACGACUUUGAGGAUUUCUCCUGGCUGACCUUCACAUCCAUCCUGCCCCUCUGCCCCUGGUGACUGGGGGAGAAGAAAACUGCAGUACUGGGGCUGAACACACCUGGCAUUGGCAGCAGGGCACUUCCACAGCCAGGGAGUACCCAGAAGAGCUCGCUGUUCAUCUCUCAGACUUUGGUUUCACUUCUCUGCCUUGCAGCUCUGCACAAACAGCUGGGAAGUGCAUCAGCUCUCCAGUUCUUAUCUGCCCUCUCUCACACUUGGAAAUGCAGCAGCCUUUCCCAAGCCAAAAUGCAAAAUGCUGGUGAGGAACAAGGAUUUAUCUGCUCUAUCACAGCAGGUAUAGAACAAGAGUGACAUGAAGGCAGGUUAUAUGCCUGGUCCCACUGCUCCCAGCUCCUCUACACCAGGCAAGACAUUUCUGUUUUUACAAAAGGCAAGCUGGGAAGUCAGCCUGUGAGUGAUUCUGUCUUUCCCCCACCACAAAGCUGGUAAAAAGGCACACUGUGAAAAGGAAAUCUGUUAUUGUUGUUGUUUGUUUUGGGGGUUUUUGUUUGGGGUUUUUUUUUGUUUUGUUUUUUUAAAGGGAGCCAUUUAACAUACAGUCAACUCCUAUGACAAAAUAAAGUUGUUAUGAGAAAAAUUACAGAGAAAAAUUACCUGGGAUCAGAAGCCCGGAAAUUCCAGGUGCCUGCAGUGCAGCUACCAUUUUGCACAACAGAAGUGAAGUAUUGGAUAUUAUACAUGUUUAUGCUAUUUUUGUAGGAAUACUUUAUUUUUUCAAUCUAUUUUUCAAAAUACUUUCCUUUUUUUCCCCAUGAUUUUCUUUAAUCCAAAAUAAAGUAACUUUGCUUAAAGGGCUACAGUCAACCAAAA
Non-coding RNA from Zonotrichia albicollis (white-throated sparrow), 2265 nucleotides. Lineage: Eukaryota; Metazoa; Chordata; Aves; Passeriformes; Passerellidae. The record is from RefSeq and is a predicted model, not a curated record.